Molecule: ribosomal RNA, 485 nt
Filed under: uncultured bacterium
Lineage: Bacteria
Description: partial 16S ribosomal RNA
Rfam family: Bacterial small subunit ribosomal RNA
Source: RNAcentral
ACUCAAAUGAAUAGACGGGGGCCCGCACAAGCAGCGGAGCGUGUGGUUUAAUUCGAUGCAACGCGAAGAACCUUACCUGGGUUUGACAUGUACGUGGUAGGAAUCUGAAAGGUGACCGACCCGCAAGGGAGCGUACACAGGUGCUGCAUGGCUGUCGUCAGCUCGUGCCGUGAGGUGUUGGGUUAAGUCCCGCAACGAGCGCAACCCUCGUCGCUAGUUAUCAUGUCUAGCGAGACUGCCGGGUCUAACUCGGAGGAAGGCGGGGAUGACGUCAAGUCAGCAUGGCCCUUACAUCCAGGGCUACACACACGCUACAAUGGCCGGUACAAUGCGCCGCAAGGGGGCGACCCGGAGCAAAUCGCACCAAAGCCGGUCUCAGUUGGGAUUGCAGGCUGAAACUCGCCUGCAUGAACGAGGAGUUGCUAGUAACCGCAGGUCAGCACACUGCGGUGAAUACGUUCCCGGGCCUUGCACACACCGCCCGU